UACGGGGGGGGCAAGCGUUGUUCGGAAUUACUGAGCGUAAAGGGCUCGUAGGCGGCCAACUAAGUCAGACGUGAAAUCCCUCGGCUUAACCGGGGAACUGCAUCUGAUACUGGAUGGCUUGAGAUUGGGAGAGGGAUGCGGAAUUCCAGGUGUAGCGGUGAAAUGCGUAGAUAUCUGGAGGAACACCGGUGGCGAAGGCGGCAGCCUGGACCAACACUGACGCUGAGGAGCGAAAGCCAGGGGAGCAAACGGG
This 253-nucleotide ribosomal RNA is filed under the name uncultured bacterium. RNAcentral's name for it is "partial 16S ribosomal RNA". It matches the Rfam family "Bacterial small subunit ribosomal RNA", at positions 524 to 776 of the family's 1533-position model. The record is from RNAcentral.